Long non-coding RNA from Perognathus longimembris pacificus (Pacific pocket mouse), 184 nucleotides. RefSeq lists it as uncharacterized. The record is from RefSeq and is a predicted model, not a curated record. NCBI's taxonomy places the organism in Eukaryota, Metazoa, Chordata, Mammalia, Rodentia, Heteromyidae. The transcript has 3 exons.
AGUCAAACCCAGGGCUUCAUGCAUGCUAGACAAGCACUCUACCACUAAGCCACAUUCCCAGCCUUCAGCUAAUUUCUUAAUCCCUUUGGACAUCUUUUUUUUUCCAUCUGCAAAAAUGGAGACAAUACCAAAGUAUCAGGAUUGCUAUAAUAAGUAACACCAGAGGAAAACCAGAGGAAAUCCA